Molecule: ribosomal RNA, 164 nt
Filed under: uncultured bacterium
Lineage: Bacteria
Description: partial 16S rRNA
Rfam family: Bacterial small subunit ribosomal RNA
Source: RNAcentral
UAGGGAAUCUUCCGCAAUGGGCGAAAGCCUGAUGGAGCAACGCCGCGUGUGUGAUGAAGGGUUUCGGCUCGUAAAACACUGUUGUAAGGGAAGAAUGACAUUGAGAGUAACUGUUCAAUGUGUGACGGUAUCUUACCAGAAAGGAACGGCUAAAUACGUGCCAG